RNAcentral lists this long non-coding RNA (765 nucleotides) under Capsella rubella. Its description in RNAcentral is "long non-coding RNA (CRUB_LNC005155)". Lineage: Eukaryota; Viridiplantae; Streptophyta; Magnoliopsida; Brassicales; Brassicaceae. The record is from RNAcentral.
GGGGACAGAUUUUGUUUUCUAAUAAUAUUUAAUUUUUUUUAAUAUUUUUUUUUUUUUUUUUGCUGGUGGCAGCUGCCCCCACCACCUUGGCUGUGGGUCCGCCCCUGGUUACACGAAAUAUAAUACAUGCAUAACUACACAUCUCAACUAUAUAAAGAUAACUACUGUAUAUAUCUUGCAUGUCCACAUAUAUCUAACUAUGGAUGUUUUCAUUCUUUGCUUUUAACCCUAGCUAUAAUUUUCGACGUAUUCCCUUGAAAACAUGUUUUGAAUUUUAAUUUAGCUUGCUCACAUAUUUGAAAGAAGUUUUGAGAUCAUCAUGCUCGAGGAAUUAAACACAUGUCUCAGGACAAAGAAAGAUGAGAUGCAAAACAUGCAAGUAAAGGAUAGACAAAUUACAAAGCAUAAGACUGGUUUGGUCUUCAACUUUCUCUGUUGAACCAACUUCAUGGUAGCCAGUCAUCGCCUCCAUCUACCGGCUAAAGCUUUAGAACUUGCAUCUUCUAUAACGUUGUCCAUAUGCAUCUAAUCCUUCGUCAUCCUGAAACUUGUUCCUAAUUCUUCGUGCUUGUUUUUUGUAUUAAUCAUUGACAAACAUGUUCUAAUUCGUGCUAAGACCCUUUCAUUUUACGAUUUUUGGGUGAAACAAUAGAAAAAUUUGUAAAAUAAUUUGUGAAAGAGAAUGAAUUGAAAAUAUAAAGCUCUGUAUAGUUCAGUACUAAGAUACAAAACACUAACACUUUUCUUUAGCUAAUUUAAAACCGC